GCGCAGCCGUCCUUUUUAUCACAUCGCGGAUUCAUCAUGGCGCCCUUCCGAUAUUGUGAUACUAGUGUAAUGCGCUAAGAAUCUUUGGCAAUUUUACAGAAUCGUGAUUAAGUUCCUAAAUUGAAUAGUAAGACUAAAUAUAUCUAAUUAAUCGCAAGUGCACAAGCUCAUAUAACGGACGCUUUAAUAAUUGCAAAAUGCCUGUAGUACCUGGAGGAGCUUAUCAACAAGGACCUUCUUGUUUUGACAGAAUGAAAUUAGGCUUUACAAUUGGAUUUUGUGUAGGAAUGGCCUCUGGUAUGCUCUUUGGAGGAUUUUCUGCUCUUAGAUAUGGAUUGAGGGGAAGAGAAUUGGUAAACAAUGUUGGCAAAGUGAUGAUUCAAGGUGGCGGUACAUUCGGCACAUUUAUGGCUAUUGGAACAGGAAUACGAUGCUAGUGUGUGUUCAUGGAUAAAGCUAUAUAUGGAACAUUUUGGAGUUUAUCUCCGAGUUACAACUGUAUUGAUUUGUUUUUCCUGGGAUAUUGAGACCGAAACUUAAAUGUCUAAUCUUAUGCGUCAUAUUGAAGUGAGUUGAAGUGUAAGGCUGAACAUCGUGUACUGCAAUAUUGAAAAAUAAGUUAAUGAAAGCAACAGUGAAUAUUAUA
RNA transcript from Formica exsecta, 646 nucleotides. It is a transcript of the gene named reactive oxygen species modulator 1, with no coding region annotated. Lineage: Eukaryota; Metazoa; Arthropoda; Insecta; Hymenoptera; Formicidae. The record is from RefSeq and is a predicted model, not a curated record. The transcript has 4 exons.